Molecule: ribosomal RNA, 488 nt
Filed under: Pseudodatames sp. Ma019
Lineage: Eukaryota; Metazoa; Arthropoda; Insecta; Phasmatodea; Bacillidae
Description: partial large subunit ribosomal RNA
Source: RNAcentral
GAUUCAAUUCCUUCCGUUAAACCAGGCCUUGGGGACCGCCGGACAGUGCUUGUUGCCCACCGCGGACGACCUCCGCGGUGGUCGCUCGCAUCUGCUUGGCGAAACGUAUGCGUCUUUUGUGGUUUCGGAGGAAUGCACUUCCACCCUGUCGGCAGCGUCGCGACACGUUGGACGACGAUCUCGCGCCCGGGUUUGUGGCAGCCCGUGCGGCAUCCGGUUGGGCCGGAUCCGCGCGGACCCUCGGUGUCCCGAUCGUCUUCCGACGGAAUGGUUGCGAAAAGAGGCGGUCCGCCGAAUUGGAAAAUCACUUUGGUUGUGCGGCGUCCGGCCCGAAUCCGACUCGUGCGGAGAAAUAGGUUUAUCCGGGAAUCCACCGUGUUGGGCACGGCCCCGGCUCCGUCGCGCCGUCGGACUCGGCGUCCUCGGACAGGAUCGUUACUCUCGUCCGCGAUGCAUAACGAUCGGAUGGUCUCCCGACCCGUCUUGAA